Molecule: long non-coding RNA, 1576 nt
Organism: Suricata suricatta (meerkat)
Lineage: Eukaryota; Metazoa; Chordata; Mammalia; Carnivora; Herpestidae
Exons: 6
Source: RefSeq, a predicted model, not a curated record
CAUCAGGAAGUCCUAUAGAAAAGACUCCCGCUACAAUUGCUCCAGGGCUGCUAAAAUGAACUUGAAGGCUGAGACCAGUGUCCCGCAUGUAGAGCAGGUUGUUUCCCAAGCAAAGCAGCAAUAGCCACUCCAUACACGUGCACGUGCACAGUCUACAGGAGCCAAGGGGAAGGAAGAGACCUGUUUCUUCAUCUGAGGGAAAACUACCAGAGGUGUGGGAACUGGGACUUAGAGAAAUGGAGCAAAGGAUCCAGAGCCAGCCAGCAGCUGGGGCAGCACCUGGUCACAUGGUAGCAAAGUGGUUGUGGAGUCUGGACAGCCUACCACAGAGUAUCCUAGCAGGAGCAGAGCCUAAUAAUGAAGUCUUCUUGAAUUCAAUGCCCAGCUCUCACUGGCUGUAGAACAGGAAGUCAGAGGGAGAGAAUAUGAUGUAUAGAAGGUUGUUGAGAUGGAGGAGGCCGCAGGGCAAGGUCCUAAGAGCAGCCUCAAGAUGCUGAGCAUGGUACUCUGCUGAUAGUCAGCAAGAAAAAUGGGACCUCAGUCCUACAACCCAAGGAAAUUGAAUUUGGGCAACCACAUGCACAGGCUCUGGAGUGUUCUUCCUAAGAGUUACCAGACAAGACCUAAUCCAGUUGCCACCUUUGACUUCAAAUUUGUGAGACUCCAAGCAAAGAACCCAGUUUGUGAAGAAUCGUCAUCUCCACGUUGGAGAUGAAGAAAGCGAGAUGGGAAAUAAUGUGACUCGCCAACCUACCCCAAGCGAUGCUACAUAUAAGAGAGAUCAUACAGUAUUUGUCAUUCUAUGAUUUAUUUCACUAAGCGUGAUGCUCUGAAGGUCCAUCUAUGUCAUCACAAAUGGCAGGAUCUCCAUCUCUAUGACUCAACAAUGUAUACCACAGGGCUGUAAUCUAGUAACAACAGUAAGAAUCUGAAGGUUCUCGAGAGAGACAAGUGAGAUAAUGGCUAAGAGCCAAAACGUCUUUUUGAAAACCAUGAAGUAUUUUUGAAACUCUCUGGCACCAUUAUUUCUAAUAUUAACUACAAUACAGCUAAAGAAAUGAUUUGCUCAACAUUCCACAGCAUGAGUGAUUCAGACAGAGCUGGGCUGGAACAUUCCUGGUGCUUCUCUGAGUUGCCAAAAUACUGCUGAGCAGCGAUGCAGGCUGCUGGAGCCUCCGGGAAUGCCGUGCCUUUCCCAGUAUUCACACUGUGAUACAGCCACAGGUCUUUCAGCAAAGAGCAAUGUUUUAAUCAAAGCUGCCCGGGCUUUGCCGUCUUCAUCCUUCAUGCCCUUGCUCAGAGGUCUGGUAACUCUCAGAGCUGCUCUGGAUUUCUGAGACACUCCAUAUCAACAGUCAGCUCUUUGAGUGCAGACUGGAUGCCCUACGCACAGAUUUUGCUAGGAGCUAUUGAGAAUUUCAGAAGAGGGAGAAAAAACGCCUACACAGGAGUUGAAACACAUGAGAUAGAGGUGUAAUAUUUACCACGAGUAAACUGUGGGGCCCCAGACAAGGCCCUGGGAUUGAAUUCAGAUUCCAUAUCUGCAGAAUAAAAGCAAUCAGAUUAUUCCUGAGAU